CAAUCAUUAUACAGCUGGUGAAGAUGACGACUUGAAAUGGGACCUGUUAGUCUGUUAGCAUAGCAUAUGCUAAGUCCACUGUGUGGAGACUCUGUGGACAACAGAUUAAAAGCCUACUUUAGUCAGUUUGUGUCUUUGUGGUUAUUGUUUGUGUCGUUGUGGUUAUUGUUUGUGUCUUUGUGGUUGUUGUUUGUGUCUUUGAGGUUGUUUGUGUCUUUGUGGUUAUUGUUUGUGUCUUUGUGGUUGUUGUUUGUGUCUUUGAGGUUGUUGUGUCUUUGUGGUUGUUUGUGUCUUUGAGGUUGUUGUGUCUUUGUGGAUAUUGUUUGUGUCUUUGUGGUUGUUGUGUCUUUGUGGUUGCUGUUUGUGUCUUUGUGGUUGUUGUUUGUGUCUUUGAGGUUGCUGUGUCUUUGUGGUUAUUGUUUGUGUCUUUGUGGUUGUUGUUUGUGUCUUUGUGGUUGUUGUUUGUGUCUUUGAGGUUGCUGUGUCUUUGAGGUUGUUUGUGUCUUUGAGGUUGUUGUUUGUGUCUUUGAGGUUGUUGUGUCUUUGUGGUUGUUUGUGUCUUUGUGGUUGUUGUUUGUGUCUUUGUGGUUGUUGUGUCUUUGUGGUUGUUGUUUGUGUCUUUGAGGUGUUGUGUCUUUGUGGCUGUUGUUUGUGUCUUUGUGGUUGUUGUUUGUGUCUUUGUGGCUGCUGUUUGUGUCUUUGAGGGUGUUGUGUCUUUGUGGUUGUUGUUUGUGUCUUUGUGGUUAUUGUUUGCGUCUUUGAGGUUGUUGUGUCUUUGUGGUUGUUGUUUGUGUCUUUGUGGUUAUUGUUUGUGUCUUUGUGGUUGUUGUUUGUGUCUUUGUGGUUAUUGUUUGUGUCUUUGUGGUUGUUGUUUGCGUCUUUGAGGUUGUUGUGUCUUUGUGGUUGUUGUUUGUGUCUUUGUGGUUAUUGUUUGUGUCUUUGUGGUUGUUGUUUGCAUCUUUGAGGUUGUUUGUGUCUUUGUGGUUAUUGUUUGUGUCUUUGUGGUUAUUGUUUGCGUCUUUGAGGUUGUUGUGUCUUUGUGGUUGUUGUUUGUGUCUUUGUGGUUAUUGUUUGUGUCUUUGUGGUUGUUGUUUGCAUCUUUGAGGUUGUUGUGUCUUUGUGGUUGUUGUUUGUGUCUUUGUGGUUAUUGUUUGUGUCUUUGUGGUUGUUGUUUGUGUCUUUGUGGUUGUUGUUUGCGUCUUUGAGGUUGUUGUGUCUUUGUGGUUGUUGUUUGUGUCUUUGUGGUUAUUGUUUGUGUCUUUGUGGUUGUUGUUUGCAUCUUUGAGGUUGUUGUGUCUUUGUGGUUGUUGUUUGUGUCUUUGUGGUUAUUGUUUGUGUCUUUGUGGUUGUUGUUUGCAUCUUUGAGGUUGUUGUGUCUUUGUGGUUGUUGUUUGUGUCUUUGUGGUUAUUGUUUGUGUCUUUGUGGUUGUUGUUUGUGUCUUUGUGGUUAUUGUUUGUGUCUUUGUGGUUGUUGUUUGCGUCUUUGAGGUUGUUGUGUCUUUGUGGUUGUUGUUUGUGUCUUUGUGGUUAUUGUUUGUGUCUUUGUGGUUGUUGUUUGCAUCUUUGAGGUUGUUGUGUCUUUGUGGUUAUUGUUUGUGUCUUUGUGGUUGUUGUUUGCAUCUUUGAGGUUGUUGUGUCUUUGUGGUUAUUGUUUGUGUCUUUGUGGUUGUUGUUUGUGUCUUUGUGGUUAUUGUUUGUGUCUUUGUGGUUGUUGUUUGUGUCUUUGUGGUCAUCUCGACUCUCUCUGUCCAGUAACAAUCACCCAGUCACACCCUCAGAGAUAACUGUGGUACGAUCUGAACGCACAUCUAACUGAACACUUUUCCAUCGUCGUAUUUCUCCACUACAGAG
Epinephelus fuscoguttatus (brown-marbled grouper) is the source of this 1851-nucleotide long non-coding RNA. RefSeq lists it as uncharacterized. The transcript is spliced from 3 exons. The record is from RefSeq and is a predicted model, not a curated record. NCBI's taxonomy places the organism in Eukaryota, Metazoa, Chordata, Actinopteri, Perciformes, Serranidae.